Molecule: ribosomal RNA, 1346 nt
Filed under: uncultured bacterium
Lineage: Bacteria
Description: bacterial SSU rRNA
Rfam family: Bacterial small subunit ribosomal RNA
Source: RNAcentral
GACGAACGCUGGCGGCGUGCUUAACACAUGCAAGUCGAACGGUGAACUUGGGAGCUUGCUCCUGGGGGAUCAGUGGCGAACGGGUGAGUAACACGUGAGCAAUCUGCCCUUGACUCUGGGAUAAGCGUUGGAAACGACGUCUAAUACCGGAUACGACCAUCCCCGGCAUCGGGAGGUGGUGGAAAGAAUUUUGGUCAAGGAUGAGCUCGCGGCCUAUCAGCUUGUUGGUGAGGUAAUGGCUCACCAAGGCGACGACGGGUAGCCGGCCUGAGAGGGUGACCGGCCACACUGGGACUGAGACACGGCCCAGACUCCUACGGGAGGCAGCAGUGGGGAAUAUUGCACAAUGGGCGCAAGCCUGAUGCAGCAACGCCGCGUGAGGGACGACGGCCUUCGGGUUGUAAACCUCUUUUAGCAGGGAAGAAGCGAAAGUGACGGUACCUGCAGAAAAAGCACCGGCUAACUACGUGCCAGCAGCCGCGGUAAUACGUAGGGUGCAAGCGUUGUCCGGAAUUAUUGGGCGUAAAGAGCUCGUAGGCGGUUUGUCGCGUCUGCUGUGAAAUCCCGAGGCUCAACCUCGGGCCUGCAGUGGGUACGGGCAGACUAGAGUGCGGUAGGGGAGAUUGGAAUUCCUAGUGUAGCGGUGGAAUGCGCAGAUAUCAGGAGGAACACCGAUGGCGAAGGCAGAUCUCUGGGCCGUAACUGACGCUGAGGAGCGAAAGCGUGGGGAGCGAACAGGAUUAGAUACCCUGGUAGUCCACGCCGUAAACGUUGGGAACUAGAUGUGGGGACCAUUCCACGGUCUCCGUGUCGCAGCUAACGCAUUAAGUUCCCCGCCUGGGGAGUACGGCCGCAAGGCUAAAACUCAAAGGAAUUGACGGGGGCCCGCACAAGCGGCGGAGCAUGCGGAUUAAUUCGAUGCAACGCGAAGAACCUUACCAAGGCUUGACAUAUACGAGAACGGGCCAGAAAUGGUCAACUCUUUGGACACUCGUAAACAGGUGGUGCAUGGUUGUCGUCAGCUCGUGUCGUGAGAUGUUGGGUUAAGUCCCGCAACGAGCGCAACCCUCGUCCUAUGUUGCCAGCACGUAAUGGUGGGAACUCAUGGGAUACUGCCGGGGUCAACUCGGAGGAAGGUGGGGAUGACGUCAAAUCAUCAUGCCCCUUAUGUCUUGGGCUUCACGCAUGCUACAAUGGCCGGUACAAAGGGCUGCAAUACCGUAAGGUGGAGCGAAUCCCAAAAAGCCGGUCUCAGUUCGGAUUGAGGUCUGCAACUCGACCUCAUGAAGUCGGAGUCGCUAGUAAUCGCAGAUCAGCAACGCUGCGGUGAAUACGUUCCCGGGCCU